This 440-nucleotide ribosomal RNA is filed under the name uncultured bacterium. RNAcentral's name for it is "bacterial SSU rRNA". It matches the Rfam family "Bacterial small subunit ribosomal RNA", at positions 338 to 789 of the family's 1533-position model. The record is from RNAcentral.
CCUACGGGUGGCUGCAGUGGGGAAUAUUGCGCAAUGGGCGAAAGCCUGACGCAGCGACGCCGCGUGGGGGAUGAAGGCCUUCGGGUUGUAAACCCCUUUCAGCAGGGACGAAGCGAAAGUGACGGUACCUGCAGAAGAAGCGCCGGCUAACUACGUGCCAGCAGCCGCGGUAAUACGUAGGGGGCAAGCGUUGUCCGGAUUUAUUGGGCGUAAAGAGCGUGUAGGCGGCCAGGUAGGUCUGCUGUGAAAACUCGAGGCUUAACCUCGAGCUGUCGGCGGAAACCAUCUGGCUAUAGUCCGGAAGAGGAGAAUGGAAUUCCCGGUGUAGCGGUGAAAUGCGCAGAUAUCGGGAAGAACACCCGUGGCGAAGGCGGUUCUCUGGGACGGUACUGACGCUGAGACGCGAAAGCGUGGGGAGCGAACAGGAUUAGAUACCCCUG